Lotus japonicus is the source of this 219-nucleotide long non-coding RNA. RefSeq lists it as uncharacterized. The transcript has 3 exons. The record is from RefSeq and is a predicted model, not a curated record. Lineage: Eukaryota; Viridiplantae; Streptophyta; Magnoliopsida; Fabales; Fabaceae.
AUUUCAAAAAACCAAUACCACUGUGAUGAAUAUGGCAUCUGCAGAAUUGGAGGCAAGGAUAACUUCUUCCAUUGCAAGAGAUGUGAGGGGAGAUACAGCGGAUCAAAGCAGCAAAUCCUCAGAUCCCACAUCGAGAAGCUUUCAGUGCUGCAACAAAAAAUGUAAAUCUUUUCACCUCAUUUUUUAUAUAUAGGUUUUUAGGGUUAGCACUUAGCACUG